UCUACGGGUGGCAGCAGUGGGGAAUAUUGCUCAAUGGGGGAAACCCUGAUGCAGCGACGCCGCGUGAGCGAUGAAGUAUUUCGGUAUGUAAAGCUCUAUCAGCAGGGAAGAAGAUGACGGUACCUGACUAAGAAGCCCCGGCUAACUACGUGCCAGCAGCCGCGGGAACACGUAGGGGGCAAGCGUUAUCCGGAUUUACUGGGUGUAAAGGGAGCGUAGACGGCGGUGCAAGCCAGAUGUGAAAGCCCGGGGCUCAACCCCGGGACUGCAUUUGGAACUGGAUGGCUGGAGUGUCGGAGAGGCAGGCGGAAUUCCUAGUGUAGCGGUGAAAUGCGUAGAUAUUAGGAGGAACACCAGUGGCGAAGGCGGCCUGCUGGACGAUGACUGACGUUGAGGCUCGAAAGCGUGGGGAGCAAACAGGAUUAGAUACCCUUGUAGUC
This 440-nucleotide ribosomal RNA is filed under the name uncultured bacterium. RNAcentral's name for it is "partial 16S ribosomal RNA". It matches the Rfam family "Bacterial small subunit ribosomal RNA", at positions 338 to 795 of the family's 1533-position model. The record is from RNAcentral.